CGUUGCUAGGGCGGCGGGCUGACCGCCGUGCCCCGCCUCAACGCCCGAGGGAGCGCGGCCGUGCGAGGGGGAGGGGCCCUUCAGGGCUGGGGGCGGGGCGUGCCUGCGUCUUCCGCGCGCUCGGCCGCCUCACCUGGGCAGGCCGCGCGGCGCCCGGCGCUGCCGCUGAGGAGCGGGGGCGUGCGGGCUGCUAACGGCACGGAGCUCUCUGCUACAUCCGCCGUAGCGUGUACGCUCAAACGGGGGCACAGCACAAACCUGCAUCUCAGCUAGGUCUGCUUCCUGACGGAAACCAAGGUUUAUCCUGGAAACUUUUCAAAUAGCCUGGAAAUAAAUAGAAAAAGGUGCCUUUUUUCGGAAAUUAGUAGACUAUACCAGGUAUUCCAUCACAAAGUUUCUCUUCAGUGAACAGAAAUUCAAACUAUUCAGCACCCCUUCCUUUACAUGACCUACUUUCAAUCUGACACAAUGCAACGUGCUCAGAGAGGACAAUGUUAUCCUUGGCUCUAACGUGUCAAAACAUGAGUCUUGAGAACUUGUGUCUAAAGAGGUGGUGUCACUUUCUUGACAACAGAGCAGAGAUCAAACAUCCUGUGGCAAGUGUCCUGUCCGAGAGGGGAACCCUCUGCUGUGCCCUUCUCCAAGAUCUCCCGGUCCUACAAGGCUUCAGAGAGGCUCAUUAGAGCUCCCGAGAUGCCAACUGUGCCCCCAGAAAGAACAGCCUUAUUCUGCACAGAGCUUGAGAAGGUCUGCUCUGUACCUCCCCGGGGGUGCUGCUGCAGUUCAUCUAAUGCGCAGCAGGCAGUAUGAAUUCUGCUGCAGUCAGGUAAGGAAGACUCGUCAGGCCCGUCACAACUGCUUUUUUAUGAUCACGCUCUUCCUGGGCACAAUGAUGAGUGGGCAUAACUGCAAGUCAACGUCAGUUAAUUUUAUCACGUGAGCAAUAACACUGCAUUAUUUUACCAAAAAUGUGGCAGAGAUAAGGAGAUAAUUCAGCAAAUAAAGGCAAAUCUCGUGGUGCCUUCAGCUGCAUCUCAGAAGAUCCUGGCUCCCAUUCCUCUCUCCCAUUUAUUUACUUCAUUCCAGUUCUUCAUUUUGUGCAGCUUUACGUUCAGGCACAGAAUGAAAAAAGCGGAGAGAUGGUGACGGUUGCAUUUGUUUAUGAACAGCAUAAGCAAUGUAGCAUGCCCCGUGGCUGCCCAGGGAAGGACACCAAGGGCAGGACACAAGCGUUGUGAGGACGCUGUGAGGACGGCUGCGCACACACCUGGCAGGGUAACUGCGCUUCCGCAGUGUCUGUUAGCAGUGCUAUUUUGACAUGACGCCAUUUGAGUUGGUGUGAUUUGAAGCAUAAUCUGGUAGGGACAACGUUUCCUAAGGGAACACUGAGGCACGCUGGCAGAGGAAACGCUGCUCCUUAGUGAGGGUGCUCGUGCUGGUGAGCUGAUAAGAUAAUACCCCCCGGAAGGAGCAGCCGCUGUGCUGCGGGAGCUGCCCUUCAGCCGGCGCCGUGCAAGAACGUGCCCCAGUGGCCUGCAGCCCUGGGCCUGCUGGGCUCCCAGAGAGGGCGAGAGGCAGCGGCAGGUCCUGGUGAGCUCUGGACCUAGUGGGGAGCUGCGGUCUGCCAAGGCCUGCUGCUCCUCACAAGGACAAAGAUGGAGGAAUCUCUGGGCCCCAAACAAAACAGCUCUUCUUGCUGAAAGCUUCAGUUCUUGGUGAUGUCAAAUGCAGUAAAAGCUUUCCCUGAGCAGAGGUGUGAUUUUGUUCCUUUGACAAAGAGCUGCUCCCGCUCCCUAUGGCUGUUCCUGCUGACCUUGGGCCAGGACCACUUCCUCCCUCAGCGUUAAGCCAAAUGGCAUUGGGAGCACAAUGCUCAAACUGGAAAAAACUCUCAGAAACUAAACAAAUCAGAAUUGAUAUCAGCAAAUGUAUAUUUAUAUUCCAUGCUGGGUUCAAACCCUAUUUAGCUUUUAACAACAUUCAUUAUGAGAGCGCUUGUAGUCAAGAUCAGCCUUAAAAACACAACAGGAAUCUGAUUUCUGUGUAAAUUUGUGCUGAAGAAGCUAGUUUUGAUUGUGUUGCUUUCAAAGUAAUUAAUUUUUAACCUUAGUCUUUAAGCGGUGCAGAAGACGGUUUAUUUUUCAGAUGUUUAUAUUAUCUUUUGAAGAAAUUGAACAUGUGGCAAACUCUACGCGUGAUGUUAAGGCGGGCAACACCCAGGCACUUCUCAGGCUGUGGUACAUGGAACGAAGCAGGCUGAGCUGCAGGGCUCUCACCUUCAUCUCACCAGCAGCAUAAUAAAGAACCCAGACAGCAGCCACAGACAGCAGCGUUUCAUCUCUGGAGCGUGGUGGAACCGACCACUUCAGCUGCGUGGCCAGAGGAAGAACAACAAUUCCUUCUCUUCCCAGGGAAGGAGAGGAUAGUGGGGAAAAAAAACCACAAAUCUUCUUCCAGUGGAAGGGCUGGAAGGAACUACAAAUAAUCCAUUUUUUAAGAAGCAGUGACGGCCUGGGAGGAAUAACCCCCUCCUGCGACCCCUUUCUGAUGAGGCUUCAGCAUGAUACGGUUCAUCAGUUCAGAAGAUGUUUUUUGCUUGAAACCAAGUAAGACAGAUUCAGCUUGUUCAUCACCCUCCUCUCCAGUGCGUUCAACAGACAGCGCACGCACUUGGCCUCUCCCAUAUCAACCCGAGGCAGCCAGUAACAGGCCUCUCACCAGCUCACAGCAAACACACACACUUACUCAACACUGGUGGGGGAAAGACUUCAGUUCUCUUGCUCUAAGUUCUCUGAAAUGAGGAAGGCCGAACAACAUUUACUGUCCCCCCGCAUACACUUACCUGCUUGUUAUCAGCAGUAGCAAACUUAGCACAACUGUUAGGAAAUAAUAGCUCUAUGAAAGAGCAAACUCAUUUUUAUUAGGACGUGUAAGACCAACCAGAAGCACGAGCUGCUCUUUGUCCAACCUUCCACCUUUCUGCGGCAGAUAGGGCAGGCAUACACCGAUGUAACACCUCCCUGUACUGCACAACUCCCAUCUCUAUUUGCCAUCCUGAACAGGCAACUUUAAACCAAAAAAAAAAAAAGAACCAAUAACUGCCUUCCCAUUUGUACAAAAGCUUUCUAGCAAUUGUGACAGCUCCUAGAAAAACAGUAAGAAAAACACCUCUUUUCCCACUGUCUUUCUUGGCAGAGUGGGUGGCAAUUGUGACAGCUGUCU
Numida meleagris (helmeted guineafowl) is the source of this 3222-nucleotide long non-coding RNA. RefSeq lists it as uncharacterized. The record is from RefSeq and is a predicted model, not a curated record. NCBI's taxonomy places the organism in Eukaryota, Metazoa, Chordata, Aves, Galliformes, Numididae. The transcript is spliced from 5 exons.